AUGGUGGGCACUCUAAGGAGACUGCCGGUGGACAAACCGGAGGAAGGUGGGGAUGACGUCAAGUCAUCAUGGCCCUUACGGCCUGGGCUACACACGUGCUACAAUGGUCGGUACAAAGGGUUGCCAAGCCGCGAGGUGGAGCUAAUCCCAUAAAACCGAUCGUAGUCCGGAUCGCAGUCUGCAACUCGACUGCGUGAAGUCGGAAUCGCUAGUAAUCGUGAAUCAGAAUGUCACGGUGAAUACGUUCCCGGGCCUU
This 256-nucleotide ribosomal RNA is filed under the name uncultured Pseudomonas sp. Its description in RNAcentral is "partial 16S ribosomal RNA". It matches the Rfam family "Bacterial small subunit ribosomal RNA", at positions 1128 to 1382 of the family's 1533-position model. The record is from RNAcentral. Lineage: Bacteria; Pseudomonadati; Pseudomonadota; Gammaproteobacteria; Pseudomonadales; Pseudomonadaceae.